GAUGAACGCUGGCGGCGUGCCUAAUACAUGCAAGUCGAGCGAACAGAUAAGGAGCUUGCUCCUUUGACGUUAGCGGCGGACGGGUGAGUAACACGUGGAUAACCUACCUAUAAGACUGGGAUAACUUCGGGAAACCGGAGCUAAUACCGGAUAACAUAUUGAACCGCAUGGUUCAAUAGUGAAAGGCGGCUUUGCUGUCACUUAUAGAUGGAUCCGCGCCGUAUUAGCUAGUUGGUAAGGUAACGGCUUACCAAGGCAACGAUACGUAGCCGACCUGAGAGGGUGAUCGGCCACACUGGAACUGAGACACGGUCCAGACGCCUAAGGGAGGCAGCAGUAGGGAAUCUUCCGCAAUGGGCGAAAGCCUGACGGAGCAACGCCGCGUGAGUGAUGAAGGUCUUCGGAUCGUAAAACUCUGUUAUCAGGGAAGAACAAAUGUGUAAGUAACUGUGCACAUCUUGACGGUACCUGAUCAGAAAGCCACGGCUAACUACGUG
This 497-nucleotide ribosomal RNA is filed under the name uncultured bacterium. RNAcentral's name for it is "partial 16S ribosomal RNA". It matches the Rfam family "Bacterial small subunit ribosomal RNA", at positions 28 to 507 of the family's 1533-position model. The record is from RNAcentral.